This 236-nucleotide ribosomal RNA is filed under the name uncultured bacterium. Its description in RNAcentral is "partial 16S ribosomal RNA". It matches the Rfam family "Bacterial small subunit ribosomal RNA", at positions 118 to 351 of the family's 1533-position model. The record is from RNAcentral.
UGAGUAACCUGCCCUUAACUCUGGGAUAAGCCUGGGAAACUGGGUCUAAUACCGGAUAUGACUCCUCAUCGCAUGGUGGGGGGUGGAAAGCUUUUUUUGUGGUUUUGGAUGGACUCGCGGCCUAUCAGCUUGUUGGUGAGGUAAUGGCUCACCAAGGCGACGACGGGUAGCCGGCCUGAGAGGGUGACCGGCCACACUGGGACUGAGACACGGCCCAGACUCCGUACGGGAGGCAG